This is a long non-coding RNA of Micropterus salmoides (largemouth bass), 860 nucleotides long. RefSeq lists it as uncharacterized. NCBI's taxonomy places the organism in Eukaryota, Metazoa, Chordata, Actinopteri, Centrarchiformes, Centrarchidae. The transcript has 4 exons. The record is from RefSeq and is a predicted model, not a curated record.
CUGUGUGACAGUAAACACAGUGUCUUUUGGUUGUGGACAAAAAAAUACAUUUAACAACUAAUCAAGUAAUUGAGAAAACAGUCAUUAGUUGUAGCCCUAUUUUUUUAAAAAUGUAGUUCCUUUUAUACAAAACUCUCUGCUCUUUGGUAUUUCCUUCCUGUUUGGAUUUUAUUCAAGUAGAAAGAUGGGUAGAAAACAAAGCUGCACAUCAAGUACAUUGUGCAGAAAUCCUCCAGUUGUUUUCAUGUGUCAGAUUAUGUUUUGCUUUUAUUACAGGGAGAAGCCCAGAUUCAUUACAUCUGUGCCACUGAGGAUUUAUUCAUUGGAAAUGAAAGGGGGAAAAGGAUAACCUCAUGCACUGUGAAGACAUGAGAGGACCAAGGAGCACGUGAAGAUGUCCCAGAAGGCAACUAAAACAUGGUGCCUUAGGCUUCUCCCACUUCUCCUUUUCGUCAUCUCCUUGGUCGGUACUACCUUACCUAUGCCAUACUUGAGAGCUACAGAGGCACCAGCACUACUCUGAACAGUAGCAAGUCAUUGUGUGGUGGCUGGCUAGCCCAGAAGAAGUGGGAGAGCCUUAACUUUAAGUGAGUAAUGGCAUGUCUGUGUUUUUUAACUGGAGGGAGUGGGUGGCUUAUUAAGGGAGAAAGGUAUGCCAACAUUUUCAUUUGAACACAAGUGCCAGGCUCCUUGGAAAUGUUAGGACUAAAGGCAUGAAGGAAAAGUUUUAAACACUUUAGUGAGAGAGAACAGGACUCAUUAUAAAAAGGGAUUUUCCAUUUGAAUCAUGAUUACAGUAAGUGUAAGAGUGUAACCUCAACGUGGACAACAAUAUCCUUUUCUUGGAGCCAGACAAUAGU